ACAUUGCAUCACAAGGUAAGGAUUUGUCUGCUUAAUCUUGAAUUGCAACAGUACAAUAACACAGUUAAUGGUAUUUAUCAUAUGAUUAAAUGAAAACGAAAACCAGAAAACAUAAUAAUAUUUCAGGGCCAACAAAGGAGACACUACAAGAUUUCUGGAAGAUGGUAUAGCAGGUUGAUAGCUGCAAAAUUGUUAUGCUUACUAAUGUUAUAGAAGAAGGAAAGAAUAAAUGUACACAGUACUGGCCAGAACAUGGAAACGAAAUGUUUGGAAAUAUAGACAUUCGCGUAAAGAAGAUUGAGCAGUUUUCACAAUUUACAAUACGGACGUUCACGUUAAAAAAGGCCAACUUGGCAGAGAAGAUGGUAACCCAGUUUCAUUUCACUGCAUGGCC
This is a long non-coding RNA of Mercenaria mercenaria, 394 nucleotides long. RefSeq lists it as uncharacterized. The transcript has 3 exons. The record is from RefSeq and is a predicted model, not a curated record. Lineage: Eukaryota; Metazoa; Mollusca; Bivalvia; Venerida; Veneridae.